GGGGGGAAGCGGGUUCAGGGCUGGGGAGGCUGCAGGAUGGUGGAGCUGGCAGGAGUUUGGUGGGAAUGAGAGGGAGCCUUGGGGGGUUGGGGAGAUAGUGGUGGAGGGAGAAGGGGUGAAAAUGUAUGUGAUUGGCAUUUUCGGGUUAUUUUUUGGGGUGUUUGUUAGGUAUAUUUUGAAAAAACUAUGUUUACAUAGGAGAUAUUUGGAAAAAAUUAUUUCCUAAGCAGAUAGCUUAUCCUAAAAAAUGUAAAGAAAGAAUCUGAGCCUGUAGAGAAGGAAUAGGGAGUAAAAGGAAUGACAAAUAGAGAGAGAACAGUACAAGAAUGUAUUCAAGCUAGAGCAGAAGGUUUUACAAGUUCUGACAGUCAAAAAAUAAAUAAAGAGCAUGUAAAUAC
This 398-nucleotide long non-coding RNA is filed under the name Coffea arabica (coffee). Its description in RNAcentral is "long non-coding RNA (CARA_LNC007294)". Lineage: Eukaryota; Viridiplantae; Streptophyta; Magnoliopsida; Gentianales; Rubiaceae. The record is from RNAcentral.